UACGAGGGGGGCAAGCGUUGUUCGGAAUUAUUGGGCGUAAAGGGCGCGUAGGCGGUCUGAUAAGUCUUGUGUGGAAUCUCUGGGGCUCAACCCAGAGUCUGCAUAGGAAACUGUCGGGCUUGAGUAUGGGAGAGGUGCGUGGAAUUUCCGGUGUAGCGGUGAAAUGCGUAGAUAUCGGAAGGAACACCUGUGGCGAAAGCGGCGCACUGG
Molecule: ribosomal RNA, 210 nt
Filed under: uncultured bacterium
Lineage: Bacteria
Description: partial 16S ribosomal RNA
Rfam family: Bacterial small subunit ribosomal RNA
Source: RNAcentral